UUGAAAAUCCUGGAGAACAAAGUCCUCCGUGUGUCCCUAGAACAGGCAGAGGCAAAGUUAGUGAAAAUUUCCCCAUAGUGCCCUACCAAUAUGCUUCAACCUUGACACAGAGGGACACCCUCUGAAGGGUGAGAGGGUGAUUAAGUCUCUAUUUACAGUCAGACUUGGCUGUCU
Molecule: small RNA, 174 nt
Filed under: Chelonoidis abingdonii (Abingdon island giant tortoise)
Lineage: Eukaryota; Metazoa; Chordata; Testudines; Testudinidae
Description: TUC338 (ENSCABG00000020273.1)
Source: RNAcentral